This 253-nucleotide ribosomal RNA is filed under the name uncultured bacterium. RNAcentral's name for it is "partial 16S ribosomal RNA". It matches the Rfam family "Bacterial small subunit ribosomal RNA", at positions 524 to 776 of the family's 1533-position model. The record is from RNAcentral.
UACGAAGGGGGCUAGCGUUGCUCGGAAUUCCUGGGCGUAAAGCGCACGUAGGCGGCUUUCUAAGUCGGGGGUGAAAUCCUGGAGCUCAACUCCAGAACUGCCUUCGAUACUGGAGAGCUUGAGUCCGGGAGAGGUGAGUGGAACUGCGAGUGUAGAGGUGAAAUUCGUAGAUAUUCGCAAGAACACCAGUGGCGAAGGCGGCUCACUGGCCCGGUACUGACGCUGAGGUGCGAAAGCGUGGGGAGCAAACAGG